RNAcentral lists this transfer RNA (85 nucleotides) under Felis catus (domestic cat). It matches the Rfam family "tRNA". Rfam says of the family: Transfer RNA (tRNA) molecules are approximately 80 nucleotides in length. The record is from Rfam by way of RNAcentral. Lineage: Eukaryota; Metazoa; Chordata; Mammalia; Carnivora; Felidae.
GCCCGGGUUGCUCAGUUGGUUGAGCAUCUGACUUCAGCUCAGAUCAUGAUCUCAUGGUCCGUGAGUUCGAGCCCCGCAUCGGGCU